RNAcentral lists this long non-coding RNA (214 nucleotides) under Bos taurus (domestic cattle). RNAcentral describes it as "long non-coding RNA NONBTAT020430". Lineage: Eukaryota; Metazoa; Chordata; Mammalia; Artiodactyla; Bovidae. The record is from RNAcentral.
UCAGAAGCCUGAAAGUGCCUUGGCUCAGUAAUCCCAGGUUAAUGAAGUUACCCAAGAGCCCCUAAGAUGUGCUCAGGGACACCCGUGCCAGCUGUUUGUCUGCAGCCUUGAAAACAAGUGGGCCCAGCGUGGAUUUUUCUGCAGGGUUAGAUGAAUGAUGGCCAGGGGGCUACACGUUCCUAAAGGAUGCCCUUGCCCUCUUGGACAUGGAAAG